UCUCAUUUAGUAUCACUUCAUCUACAAUGGCUCUCUGCUUUUCCUCUCUCUCGCUCUUCUCUUUCUCAGCCUUCUCAUUUUUCUCCUGUUUCUUCAUCUUCCAGAAGUAGACCAGGUUUUUCUCGGGGUAGGUGACUUUGGCCAGUGGCAGCUUGAAGAUCCUAUUGGUCCCCGUGGUUAAGAGGAGGAAAGUAAGUGCAGAUAGACAGAACGGCCAUGUGCAGGCUGGCAGACCAAACUGUGGAGGGAAAAUACAAUAAUGUUGGGUAGAAGGAGCCACCAGUACCAGUCUCCUUCUUUGGAGAACACAGCCAUCAGCAGACCCACAAGAAUGCCGUUGUAACCGUAGAGACCAGCAGCAAUUGCACCCCUGAGGGAAGCACAGAAAUAAGGGCAGAUAUGGUGGCAAAGAGUGUGCCCACAAAGCCGUUCAGAGCCCACCAGUAGUUCUGCAAGAUGAGGCCGGCAAAAAUGAUGAGGCCACUUAGAGGGUUGUUGACGAACAUCACCUGAGCAGCCCCACGCAGAACCCAGUCCAGUAACUGCAGCAAGAAGAACUGUUCUGUAAGAUGGAAAGAGGGAAAAGACAGGGGCCCUGAGGGGGUUUGUCGUGCCCGGGUGCUACGGCGGAUCCCCUACUAAGCUUCCCCAAAGCGACUACGAGUUCAAAAUCGAUCAAUACAAUAAUCCGUAAU
Molecule: long non-coding RNA, 695 nt
Organism: Notolabrus celidotus (New Zealand spotty)
Lineage: Eukaryota; Metazoa; Chordata; Actinopteri; Labriformes; Labridae
Exons: 4
Source: RefSeq, a predicted model, not a curated record